GGGGAGGUUUACCUGGCAGUUCGACGGGAGCUAACAUUUCNAAAGUUUUCGGAUGGACGAAAGAUAAGUUUAGUGGGCGGACGGGUGAGUAACACGUGAGCAACCUGCCUUUCAGAGGGGGAUAACAGUUGGAAACGACUGCUAAUACCGCAUAACGCUGCGAUGGGGCAUCCCGAUGCAGCCAAAGGAGCAAUCCGCUGGAAGAUGGGCUCGCGGCCGAUUAGCUAGUUGGUGGGGCAACGGCCCACCAAGGCGACGAUCGGUAGCCGGACUGAGAGGUUGAUCGGCCACAUUGGGACUGAGACACGGCCCAGACUCCUACGGGAGGCAGCAGUGGGGGAUAUUGCACAAUGGAGGAAACUCUGAUGCAGCGACGCCGCGUGAGGGAAGACGGUCUUCGGAUUGUAAACCUCUGUCUUUGGGGAAGAAAAUGACGGUACCCAAAGAGGAAGCUCCGGCUAACUACGUGCCAGCAGCCGCGGUAAUACGUAGGGAGCGAGCGUUGUCCGGAAUUACUGGGUGUAAAGGGAGCGUAGGCGGGCGAGAAAGUUGAAUGUUAAAUCUACCGGCUUAACUGGUAGCUGCGUUCAAAACUUCUUGUCUUGAGUGAAGUAGAGGCAGGCGGAAUUCCUAGUGUAGCGGUGAAAUGCGUAGAUAUUANGAGGAACACCAGUGGCGAAGGCGGCCUGCUGGGCUUUAACUGACGCUGAGGCUCGAAAGCGUGGGGAGCAAACAGGAUUAAAUACCCUGGUAGUCCACGCUGUAAACGAUGAUUACUAGGUGUGGGGGGACUGACCCCUUCCGUGCCGCAAUUAACACAAUAAGUAAUCCCCCUGGGGAGUAAGGCCGG
This 850-nucleotide ribosomal RNA is filed under the name uncultured bacterium. RNAcentral describes it as "bacterial SSU rRNA". It matches the Rfam family "Bacterial small subunit ribosomal RNA", at positions 41 to 889 of the family's 1533-position model. The record is from RNAcentral.